GGGCCGCGGUCGGGAGGCCAGAUACCAGCACACUCCGGUUUGCGGUUGGUCCCCGCGAGCUUUGUCGAGGCUCAGGCACGAUGGUGGGGCGAGGCCCACGAGCGCCUUCUCUGGCCCUACAUCCAGGUCCGAAAAAUGCGAAGUAGCCUGUGGCUGUUUGUGAGGCAAACUUACUGAACCAGUACUGGUGAAACUGCACCACUAUGAAUAUUUCGAGGACUUGCUGAUUCAUGUUUGCAUCUCUAAUGCCUACUGAAAUCUGAGUACCUGUUCAUUCAUUCAUUCAAGAAUUAUUCGUUGAUAGCCUGUAAUAUACCAGGAGAACACUGUGGCGUAGCUGUGCACAUCAGGCCAAUUUCCAAAUUUCAGGGACUUUUGCUUUUUCUGAUGAGUCUCCAGAUGAAAACUCAGCUUAGCUGAUACCUUCACUUCUACCUCGUGAUACGCUGACUAGAGGAGCCAGUCACACCAUGCCUGAUGUCAAAACUACAGAAUUGUGAGUGUGAUCUCAAUGGUGAGGUGACAUGGCUGGGAGUAGACCUUCCAUAACAAGAAGGCGGUUCCUUUAGGAGAGGCUGACAUAGCAGGUUAAAAAGGUGUAUCUUCCCUAUAAACUUGCUGAACAUAGUUGGGUAUAUUGGUUCCACUGUUUUUUAUCAUUAAUACUCUGUGAAUGUGGGAUUUAGAAUAAGUAGCUAAUUUAUUUGUCAUUUUGGGACUUGAGAAUACUUCAAACCUAAGUAUGUGACUCAGUAAUCAUUUUGUGAUGUUCAGUUUAGAGUUGUUGAGAGAUGACUUUUUUUUGGGGAGGGUAAAAUAUUUUACUUUCUAAUAAGUUUAAUUUAAUAGUUUGAAUAAUCAGAAUUAUGUUUAUUUCAAGGGAGUUAGGUUGAAUCCAAAUGUGUAGAGACUUCUUGAGAAAAAUAUAAAACGCAAAUCGAACUUUUAUACAUUAUCCUUUGUUUUCUUUUCCUGCUGUAAAAUGUUUAAAUGUUUAAUUCCUUGAAACUCUUAACACUGAUCUCUAUAUAAAUUCUUUUAAACUAUGCUAUCAUGCAUUGUAUUUUUAGGAUAACUGCAUAUUGUAUUAACUCAAAAUAGGUCAAUGAUCUUCUUUAAUUACUUGUUAGCUGGAAAGUUGAAGCCACAGCUGUGGUUCCUAUUCUCAUUUUUUCUUUUCUCUGUGACUCAGAUUCCUUAUCUCAAAACCUUUUCUUGACUCCAUAUCUGGACCCUUCUUCUCAUGUCCGAUCAUCUUGUUUCCUUUAAUUCUCAUCCUUGACCUUUCCUCAUCUUAGUUUUCUAUGAGGACCUUUCUUCCUUCUUGUAGCCGUUAUUUUACCUUCCUCUCCAGCACCUUCUCUCAUGGAUCAUUUCUUUCCACGACUACCACCCCCCAGCUUUAAGAAAUUAAUUUCUUUCCUCUUCUAUUUCCUUUUUAGGAAAUAAUUACGUAACUCUAGAAAUGUAUAAAUUCCUCACAAAGAUUGGGCCAGGAUGUAAGUGAUUCGUACAAGUUCAGAUCUCUUCCUUUAUUUUCCUUUCUAAUUAAGAACCUUCUCCCAUCCUCAGCAAAGAUGAUCAAUACAUUCUCUUUAUCAGCCAACCUUUAUCUUCUCUCUCAACCUCUGUGUCCUACUUCAUCACUGUAAAUUGCUAAAUGUCUGUUUAAUACAAGAGCUGGGUUAUGCAGAAGUUGGAACAUUCAGGAUGUUGUUUAGGAAUUUUACCUGCAUUUUCUAGGUUCUUAUGAGAGAUCUGCUGGAAAAACAAUAGAGGGACAUAUGGUUCUGUUGGACCUCUGUGCGCAUGAGUAUAAAUGACCAUGUGGGUGCACAACUUGGUGAGCAGAAGAGACCUUCAUGCAAUUUGGAAUAAAGGUGGCCUUUCUUGUGGAAGAACGCCACCUUGUGUCAAGGUUUAUGGCUAGAAAAGGGGUGUGAAGGCUGCAUCUAGCCUCAGCUCUUCAGCUAGUGUUGACAAAAUAUCGGCUGCCUCUGUACACCGAUGCCAAAUAGAAACUCAGAGACAAGAGUUGGAAGAAACAGAAAAAGUAACUUUAAUUGCCAGGCAAAGAGGGGAACACAGCAGGCUAGUACCUCAAGGACUAUGCCACCCCUUGGAGGAGUAGUGAGGAGUCUUAUAGCAUUGGAGGAGCAGGGCGUGAUUAGCUCAUGGACAUUUUCCUGAUUGGUUGGUGGUGAGUCGUUAGGAGUGGGUGUCAUCAACCUUCUGGUUCCAGCUGGUCUGGGUUCUACGUUUUGUGGGCAGCAUACACUUGACUGCUUCCACGGGGUGGGGGCUUCAGCACCUGCAAAACAGAUCCAAGGACAUGGCUCAGAAUAUUAUCUAUAGUCUUUGAAAAAGAACUGAGUGUCCUUGACCUCGUUGAAUGUCCAAAUUAUUAUUAUUGUUUUCUUUUUUUUCUGUAUUUCCUCUCUUCUCUGAUUAAAUUGGUUUUUUGCCUAAAGUUUUUCUGCAGAUAGAAAGGCAGGUGGAGGACAUGAGCGGGGUCCACUCUGGGAAGGCCUCCCGGGUCCUGUUUGGUUGUUCUAGGCCCUUCUGUGCAGUGAAGAACCUGCACAAUCAUAUGUUGCCUCCCCCCGGGAAGAGCAACUCUAGUAAAUGUAAAACAGCAGAGGGUAAAGAGUCAGGUGUAUGUUGUGAAAGGUAACAGCAAUUCUUAUUUCCUUGGAGACAAUUGAAAUUUACUAAACAUCUUUUUCAAGCCAAUUAUUCAAAGUGUAAUGAAUGUUCAUUAGGGUUUAUAAUAAAUUAGGCAUUAGAAAUGUGUAUUUCAGUAGGAAAUGAGAGUAAAAUUGGGAAAGACAGGUAGAUGGAGUAGAGAACAUUGUUUGGCAGACUUUUUGUUAAAAUGCCAGAUGGUAAAUAGUUUAGGCUUUGUGGACCAUACAAGCUUUCUGUUGCAACUCUUAAACUCGGCUCAAAAGCAGCCAUAGAAAUUAUGUAAAUAAGGAGUUUUCCUGUGGCUUAGCGGGUUAAGGAGCUGGUGUUAUUCCUGCAGUGGCUAUGGUUCACUGAGGCAUUUGGUUUGUAUGAAUCUGCUGUUAAUAAGGAAGAGCUCUAAAUCUGAAUAACAAGUAUUCAUAAAUUGUCAGAUUAAUUCCACACAGGAUGAAAAACAAAUUUUGAUUACUGAUUUUAAUUUAUAGAUUUAUAAACACCAGGAAUGUAAGUUUUAUUUGUCAGGGAUUUAUUUCUCUAUUAAAUCGCCUGUAAUAUAUACACUUGAAAAGAUAAAAAACUGGACUAACAGACCACAUUUCAUAUAAACUGUUACUCUUUAAACUUCUCUUGCAGCGCUCAAUUUAAACAAUAUAUAAUGAAUGUAUAUUAUGAGUCUCUGGAUCAUGGUGAAUUUUAUUCCCUUUCUUUCAUAACAGCCAGCUGAUAUCAGAACUGAUCUUUCUUGGAACUGGCCUUGCUAAUGGAAUUCAUAUGGUUUGCUCAGAUAAGUAAUUCUUUGGGGAAAACUCAUUAUAAGCAAAAUACUUGAAAAGAUAUGAGAAAGGGCAACAGUUGGGCUAUAAAAACAGAGUUUAUAUUUUUGCACGGAAAAAAUUUUAUGGUCCUAGCAUUUUACUCGUUCCCAAAUUAUCUGAUUGUAUUAUUCCAGAGGCUAAAUAUAAAGAUUGCCUUGUUAUCAAACUCUCAAAUCUUGAGAAGGAUCAAUCUUAAAAAAAUCCUUUUUCUUCUCCUUCUCCUCCUCCUUCUCUUCUCUCAUUCCUUCCCCUUCUUUUUGUAUGUCUGUUUGCAAGAUGAAUAUAGACUGUUCCAGAAAAUUCUUAUUAAAAACUGUGUGGAAUAGGCAAGAGCUGAUGGGUUAUAAGCAAUUGGAUAUCUGGGCCUUAGUGUUUCCUGCAUGGAGGUGAAUUCCUUUGGCCACACCAGCCGUCCUGUAUUGUUUAUUACAGUCUGUAACCUCUCCCUUCAGCUAAAGGGGCAAAUUCAUGAAGGAGUUCACAGAGCUCUUCUGAUUUUUGAGGCAUUUAAGGCCAGCUAGAAUACACUUUAUUCAGCGUAAUUAUACUUUUAAUUCAUAAGACUUAUAUAUUCAGGUGAAAACUGGCAGUUAAGAAGCCUCAGAGGCAGGGUUUAGAUUUUGAUUGUCAUUUACCACUGCUAGAAAGAAAUUGCAUUCUAGUGGGGCCGUAUCUCAAUGAAAACAAACCUUUCUCUUCCAUAGCACAUUGAUCAAAAGAAAGCUCAAGGUUACAAGGAUUCUCUGAAGUCCAUUGACUCUUUGCUGCUAAUUAGUAGCACAACUUAUUUGAGCAAAUUGAGAAUUUUAAUACCUACUUUGACUUGCUUUUAAUAUUGCUCUAAUUUCCCAUGAACAUGUUUUUGUUCUAAACUUGAUGCGGACAAAUGUACAAACUGUGGAUAGGCCAGUCUUAUUUAUUUAUUAAACAAAGUUAUGUUUUUAUUAGGUUUGGAAUUCACUUCUAGGCAGUUAAAAGAAAGGGGUUAUUAGUACCUUCCUUCUAAGGCCAUUUUGAAAUUUUAUGAAAAAAAAAAAAAGUAUGUGGUACAAAAUUGAUCUGGGUAUACAGCGGGUGAACUGAUUCUAAUCCUACUCUGUGUAUGGAACUAGAUCAAUUUCCCGGUGCUGGCUGUGGGCUUGGGAUGGUAUAUUUAUCUGGUGUUGGAGUCUAGUAAUAUCUUGUAUGCUUUUCCUAUCUGUGUGCUCUCUGGAACAAGUAACCUAGAGAGAGUGUGCCAUUGAGUGGGCUGUCAGAGAUGAAGCUAAGAAAUAGUCAACACCUUGACUUUGCUUAUUUCCUCAGUGUGAAUCAACUAAGGUGGCAGCAAAGGAUAAAAGCAGUGUGUCAGUGAGAGAACUACAGUUUCAUCCCCUGCUUUGGAGACAUUAUUCCCAAUAGCCUAGAGAUUUGUCAGUGACUUGGUAGAGCAUGAAUUCAGGUAUGUGCAUUAAUUAAACUUCCUUUUUGAAGAAUCGCCUCAAUGGCUUCUAGACCUAGAAAUCUGCUGCUCCAAGUAAACCACAGAUUUACACCAGAUCUUGACAUGUAAGACCAUCUAGCAUAAGAUGCUAAAAUAUAGUUUGGUCGUUUGCUUUGUAGUAGAAAUAGUCAUUGUAUCAUGAAUUCAUAUUUGCUAAGACUUGGGAAAUCUUUUGGUUAAGAUUUCCUCAGCCUGUUUGCUGCUACUGAAUUUUUUUUUUUUUUCUUUUGGUUCAGCAAAGGCGAACUCCUUUAGGUCCUAUGACUAAUUUCCCCACAUCCAGAGAUUAUCUAAUGAGUUCCUUAGAAAACUUUGGAACAAAAUUAAUCCAAGAUUUACUGGGUGACUAAUCAUAUCUCUGGGGAAAUAAGCUGGCCCUUAGUUUACUGGUUAGUUGCAAAGAAUCCUGGCAAUGAAUAGAAACAAGGAUAAACAUCUAUUAUUUAAAAAAUUCAGAUGCUCUUGAUGUCCAUAUAAGACAUAUCCUCAGUUUCAAAUUUUCUUCCUAAAGCAUGACGUCUCUUCCUUGGCCAUCAUGAUUUAUCUGUUGAUAAAAUUUACCCUGUGUAUUCAUGAGAAUAUGAUUUAUAAAAGUUAAGAUAUAUACUGGAUCUUUAGCAUAUAAAAGCUUCUAAUGGAUUUUUUUUUUGGAAGAGUAACUGUGAAAAGGAAGUUUGUUUAGAGCAGGAGUUGAGAAAACGUAUGGAAUAAAAGAAAGCAUAAGAUCGCCAGGUUCAUCUAUUUCAGAUUUUGAUGCAUCAGAGGAAAAUCAAUAUGGGUUCCAGAAGGCGUUUUAAGUAAUAAAAGGAUAUUACAUUUUUUUCCAUCAGAUAUUGUCAAAUUUGUGCUUACAUAAUGCUUCAAACAUUUUGAAAGAAUAGAGAAUG
RNAcentral lists this long non-coding RNA (5873 nucleotides) under Sus scrofa (pig). RNAcentral's name for it is "lncRNA (ENSSSCG00000057312.1, ENSSSCG00160010789.1)". The record is from RNAcentral. Lineage: Eukaryota; Metazoa; Chordata; Mammalia; Artiodactyla; Suidae.